Pyrgilauda ruficollis (rufous-necked snowfinch) is the source of this 551-nucleotide long non-coding RNA. RefSeq lists it as uncharacterized. The record is from RefSeq and is a predicted model, not a curated record. The transcript is spliced from 4 exons. Lineage: Eukaryota; Metazoa; Chordata; Aves; Passeriformes; Passeridae.
GAGGACUUCUGAGGAAUCUGUGUGAGUGAAUCUUCUGUUUCUAACUGGAAGGUCCUCUGCACGUGGAAAAGAAAUGGAAGACAUAAAAUAGGCAGCAGAAGGAAGAGGAGAGAGGAACAGAUUCAAGUCCAGGUCCAGAGUGACCAGAGACAACCUCAAGGUGUCUUUGGGAUAACAGGGACCAGCAAACAACCUGUGACCCAAAGGGAAAUAGCAGCAGCAGCAACUGGGCUCUUCUCCAAAGCUCGUGAUAAUGGCCAACAUCAUUCCAGCCACCAGCACAAGGCAAGACAUGCACACACAGAGCAUCCUCCUGCCCGUGGCAGCCAGGGCACCCUUCAGACAUCCCACCUCACCUGCUGACACAAUCCUUCAGCGCCCACCAAAAUCAAAUGCAGCUAAUUGGAAGGUGAUGACAGCCAGGGGAUUGCUGGAUUUGCAUGCUAGUUCCUCUAUUUUAGCAUCACACAGCCCAAGUACAGGUUCUGUGUUCAAGAGCUUCCUGAGAAAAACAGGAUUUCUGCAUGGAAGGAGGAUGAGUUCUCAGACAC